CUGCUGGUAUCGCUUUUUGUGUUGACUGUCUGUGUUUGUGUGUCUCCAGAGUAAAGUGAAAGGGCAAGAAGGUGACAUGACACACACCUUGCACACCUUGCACACCUUGCACACAUUCAGAACUCAGAACUCUUUAUUGCCAGUAGAUAGGAUGCUGGAAUUGGUUGAGGUUCAGGGCCAGAUAUAAAGCACGAUACAACAAAAUACAUGAGCAUGAUGGACCGGACAAUAACAAUAUAAGAAACAGUCAACAUGAACAAGAAGUAAUAAAUAAACAAGACGACAUAAGCAGUAGCGCUGUUGACAGCAGCGUGGCGACGAAGACCCCGCCGUGCAAAGAGGAGCGCAGUUCGGAGAAGAAAUGCCAGUAGAGACGACAUGAACUUAAGCACGUGACCGGGUGGCGGCUGUCGCGUCCCCCGCAGCCGGCACGUCGGCGACGCCUGUCGUUUCCUAACGGGAACGGCAAUAAGAGGGAAGCCGAGGAAGCCCAAAUGAGAUGCGGAACCUUGUUUUGCUUCGGUGAACCUACUCCGACAUCGACCUUUGCCUGCGUAUUCCCGACCCGACCGCGUUCUUCGCCUAGCCUUUUGUAGUACUGCCGUUUGCUGAUCGCCAGACCCACGCCCGUCCGUCCCUCGACUUCGCUUUCUGGAUUCCGAUUCGGCUUCGUUAAACAUCGGUGUACGAUAACUCUGCGCUUGAGUCCGUCCUUGCUACGCGCAACCGUGACGGUGGGGGGGGGGGGGGGGGGUGAGGGUGCGCCUACUUGCUUUUACGUAGGAGGCGGAUGGUUUCGGGCAAGAGAUGACGUGACGUGACGACGAGCGCCCAUGCACUUAUAUUGCCCCCCCUGGGCCUGGCUGAGGUGGCAGUCUGGCGAAGAGGUGACUGCUGCGAUGAGCGGAGUCUGCAACACUUUGCUCGGUUCCGAAAGCAGUGCAGACAUUUCUUCUGCCUGUUUAAAAGCUUUGGAUGACAUGAGUGAAGAGCAGUUUAAGAGGUUUAAAAUGAAGCUACAUGAAACUAAAGGGUUUGAAAAAGGGCAAACUGAGAAGAUGGACCGUGCUGAUUUUGCACGCCACAUCUGCGACGUACUUCAACAAAAAGAAGCAGAAAAGAUGAUGCUUGAAACUCUAGAAGCCGUGGGCUUAAACGCGAUUGCUAAGGAUUUUCGGACCGCUUGUCAACAUGCUCAUUACAAUUCGUGUGAGGAGGUGACUUCUGCAAAAAGAAACCUCAGAGAGGAAUUAGAGAAGAUCUUCAAAAAAUUCCGUGCUGAUAACUUGAAGGAGUUCAAGAAUUUAUUGUCUAACAAAUGUCCCAUCAGUUUUCCCCGUGUUGAAAUGGAGAAAGUGGGAGCGUGUGACCUGCAAACCCUCAUCGUCAGUUACUUUGGAAGAGACAAAACAGCAGAUGAGGUUGCAAAGAUCUUGGAGACAAUGGAUUUAAAGGGUUUAGCAUCUCCUUUGAAAAACAUUAAAGACGGUAUGCAGAUUUAUUUAACACUCACCCUGCUUAGUUUUGUUCUUUGUAAAUUACACUUUAUUGCUAUAUUUUUAAAAAAAAAAAUUCCCCAUUCUCCCCCCUUUUUGCGGGCGGUCUUACUCCUUCAAGCUUGGGUCCUCUACCAGAGGCCUGGGAGCUUGAGGGUUCUGCGCAGUAUCUUAGCUGUUCUUAAGACCGCGCACUUCUGGACAGAGAUCUCGGAUGUUGUUCCUGGGAUCUGCUGGAGCCACUCUCCCAGCUUAGGGAUCACAGCCCCAAGAAAUGUGUGUGUGUGUGUGUGUGUAUGUAUAUAUAUAUAUAUAUAUAAAAUAGGCAAAACACCCCAAAAUUUGCUUUAUUUCAUUGAUUUUUUUUUUUUAAAGUAACUCCUGGAUUUGAGGUUAUUCGGCACUAUUUUUGUUCUUUGUAAAUAUUUCAAAUGACGUGAAGUGGUGUUCUACAUGGCACACACAUACAAUAUAUUGUCGUAGAAAACAACGCAGCAUGAUUUAAUAUAUUUAUGUUAUAAACUCAAAGAAAUAUCUCUGGACAGUGACAGUGAUCUUGGCAAGACUUCAUCACUGAAACAAAAAGUUCUAUUGCAAAUACCAGAAAUGCAAUGAAAACGGAGCUGUGCAAUGUAAAGAAAGAAUUUGAAGAAGAAGUGAACAAUAUCGAGAGGGGCGCGGUGGCGCAGUGGGUUGGACCGCAGUCCUGCUCUCCGGUGGGUCUGGGGUUCAAGUCCCGCUUGGGGUGCCUUGCGACGGACUGGCGUCCCGUCCUGGGUGUGUCCCCUUCCUCUCUCCAGCCUUACGCCCUGUGUUGCCGGGUAGGCUCCGGUUCCCCGUGACCCCGUAUGGGACAAGCGGUUCUGAAAAUGUGUGUGUGUGUGUGUGUGUGUGAACAAUAUCAAGAUAAAGAUGAAAGAAGAAAGAAAUAAAAUUGAAAAUGAGUUGGAGACA
Molecule: long non-coding RNA, 2450 nt
Filed under: Scleropages formosus (Asian bonytongue)
Lineage: Eukaryota; Metazoa; Chordata; Actinopteri; Osteoglossiformes; Osteoglossidae
Description: lncRNA (ENSSFOG00015027874.1)
Source: RNAcentral